GUGGGGCAGGACAGGCCUGGGAAGAUAAGGAGCACAGGGUUGAGAAGGCAGGAAGAGAGUUGAAGGAACCACUGAAAGUGAGAGAGAAUGUUGUCCUGCGAUUUACUUCAGUGUCCAGCCCAGGUGAACCUUGGAGUGGAAAAGUGGGAACUGUGACUACCCCAUGUUCGUCAUUGCACAUCUCCAAGUUCAAAAUGAAGGUCAGACUGGAAAGGAAUAGAAGUAUUCUUUCCUCCUUCCUCCCAAGAGUUUUGCUUCGUACAGCUCAAAACAAAUACAGGUUCAGGAUUAUGAAAUCCCUCGGAGGAGUAAGAUGACUGCAACAAAUGUCACGAAGGAAGAUGAAUAACAAAACCAAAUAAAUGGAUUCAAC
Molecule: long non-coding RNA, 373 nt
Filed under: Junco hyemalis (dark-eyed junco)
Lineage: Eukaryota; Metazoa; Chordata; Aves; Passeriformes; Passerellidae
Description: lncRNA (ENSJHYG00000014366.1)
Source: RNAcentral